UAGGGAAUUUUCCGCAAUGGGCGAAAGCCUGACGGAGCAACGCCGCGUGAGUGAAGACGGUUUUCGGAUUGUAAAGCUCUGUUCUGUGGGAAGAAGACAGUGACGGUACCAUAGGAGAAAGCCCCGGCUAACUACGUGCCAGCAGCCGCGGUAAUACGUAGGGCGCAAGCGUUGUCCGGAAUUAUUGGGCGUAAAGAGCUCGUAGGCGGUUUGUCGCGUCUGCUGUGAAAACGCGAGGCUCAACCUCGCGCCUGCAGUGGGUACGGGCAGACUAGAGUGCGGUAGGGGAUACUGGAAUUCCUGGUGUAGCGGUGGAAUGCGCAGAUAUCAGGAGGAACACCGGUGGCGAAGGCGGGUCUCUGGGCCGUAACUGACGCUGAGGAGCGAAAGCAUGGGGAGCGAACA
This 405-nucleotide ribosomal RNA is filed under the name uncultured bacterium. RNAcentral's name for it is "bacterial SSU rRNA". It matches the Rfam family "Bacterial small subunit ribosomal RNA", at positions 355 to 774 of the family's 1533-position model. The record is from RNAcentral.